RNAcentral lists this ribosomal RNA (507 nucleotides) under uncultured bacterium. RNAcentral's name for it is "partial 16S ribosomal RNA". It matches the Rfam family "Bacterial small subunit ribosomal RNA", at positions 28 to 507 of the family's 1533-position model. The record is from RNAcentral.
GACGAACGCUGGCGGCGUGCCUAAUACAUGCAAGUCGAACGCAUUUUCUUUCACGGUGGCUUGCGAGACCGAAAGAAAAUGGGUAGCGAACGGUGGAGUAACACGUGGUCAACCUGCCCAUCAGCGGGGGAUAACACUUUGAGACAGGGGCUAAUACCGCAUAAUUCUAUUUACCGCACGGUAGGGGGAUGGAAGGCGCUUUUGCGUAACUGAUGGAUGGAGCCGCGGUGGAUUAGCAAGGUGGUGGGGUGACGCCCUACCAAGGCGGGGAUGCGUAGACGACCGCGGAGGGUGGUCGGCAAAACUGGGACUGAGACACGGCCCAGACGACUACGGGAGGCCGCAGUAGGGAACGUUCGGCAAUGGAGGGAAAUCUGACCGAACAAGGCCGAGUGAGUUGCGGAGGGUCUCGGAUCGGAAAACUCUGUUGUUAGAGAAGAACAAGGAUGAGAGUGGAAAGUUCAUCCCUUGACGGUAUCUAACCAGAAAGCCACGGCUAACUACGUG